AUGAUGCGUUCGUCGGUGCCCUCAUCGAUGGUCAUCGAUGAACGCGCAAAUGCCGGUGGCCUAGACGUGGAGAAGAAGGGCGCAAUCGCCGUGCUCUUGGAGCACCAAGAAACCGAUCCCGGGUAUUACACUGACACCGUCGUCAAAGGCAUCGUCUUGGUACUGCUCACUGCCGGCACCGACACAUCGGCGCUGACCACGGAGUGGGCGAUGGCGCUGCUUGUGAAGCACCCAGAGGUGAUGCGGAAGCGCGGCACGAUGAUUCUCGUGAAUGGAUGGGCGAUCCACCGGGAUGUCAAUAUCUGGGAUGCGCCAGAGGAGUUCCGGCCGGAGCGGUUCUUGGAAAGAGACACGGUCACCACGCCCAUGCUGCCGUUCGGGCUUGGUCGGAGGCGAUGCCCCGGGGAAGGGCUGGCGAUGCGCCUUGUCAGCUUGUCUGUGGCAGCACCCGUGCAGUGCUUUGAGUGGGAUGUUGGUGAAGGCGACACCAUUGACAUGGCCGAAGGUGGCGGGCUGACAAUGCCAAUGGCUGCCGCCCCGGGAGUUUGUCAAGAGCGUGCUCUCUGCUUCCACUUGAUGGGCUGCGGUCUGCGGUCUGCGGACAGGUUUCUAUAG
Molecule: ribosomal RNA, 615 nt
Filed under: Triticum aestivum (bread wheat)
Lineage: Eukaryota; Viridiplantae; Streptophyta; Magnoliopsida; Poales; Poaceae
Description: partial small subunit ribosomal RNA
Source: RNAcentral